GUAAAACUCUGCGCAGCGACGCCGGGAGUCACUUGCGCCUCAGCCUCCGGAGGAACCGCAGCAGCGCCCGUCGUCCCGUGGAAAGUCGAGUCGAAGAAGAAAUCCUGAAGAGAGCGAAGAUGCGGCUGCUAUUGGCUUCUGCUGCGCUGCUGUGGCUGAGCAGCGCGGCGGCGGAGACGGUCGAGGUGCAGCUCCAGCAGGGCGCCAUCGUGGGCUCGAGGUCCGAGGCCAAGGGCGGCAGGCCUUCUACGGCUUCCUGGGCAUUCCCUUCGCUCAGCCUCCGGUCGGGGCACUCAGGUUCAAGGAUCCCGUGGCCGCCGGGGCGUGGUGAGGG
This is a non-coding RNA of Penaeus vannamei (Pacific white shrimp), 334 nucleotides long. The record is from RefSeq and is a predicted model, not a curated record. NCBI's taxonomy places the organism in Eukaryota, Metazoa, Arthropoda, Malacostraca, Decapoda, Penaeidae.